GGCAGGCGUACGGACUCGAGUGACCGCCUGCCGCCUGCUUCUCUGCGCCUCACUAUCUACCGCCUCGGGCCAGGCUCGUGCUGUACCGUCACCGCGGUGACGGUGUUAGGCUUCAACUCCGAGAACUUCAGGGACGUUAAGACGUUGUGCCACCGCCUGCCUAACGCCAGCCGCCACCUCAACUUCACCACCGUCGACAACGUUCAUGGCGAGUGGAAGGGCGGGUCAAAGGUCAAUGUCACCUGGAGGGUUAGGGUCGCCCUUGACCCCAACCAAUUCUUUGCCGUCUUCGUCCAACCCCUGGAACCCUCACGCGUGGCGAGGGCGGCCGCCCCUGUCGCCCGCUGGUCCAGACUGACUACAGACUCAGAGGUUGAGGUCUCAGGUCUGCUAGCAGACUAUCACUACAGAAUAAGCGUGCGACUCUGCACUGCAGACUUCUGCGACGCGGCUGCAGCGCAUA
Molecule: long non-coding RNA, 463 nt
Organism: Hyalella azteca
Lineage: Eukaryota; Metazoa; Arthropoda; Malacostraca; Amphipoda; Hyalellidae
Exons: 4
Source: RefSeq, a predicted model, not a curated record